Long non-coding RNA from Equus asinus (donkey), 2266 nucleotides. Lineage: Eukaryota; Metazoa; Chordata; Mammalia; Perissodactyla; Equidae. The record is from Ensembl.
UACAGGCCUGAGCCUGCAUCGCAAAUGGCAGGAGACAGGCAGGUGAGGCGCGUCUCAGCUCAGGUGCGGCUGCAGUGCGGCGAAAUGGGCACAGGGGGGCAGUGUGGCCCCGUGUGGCUCUGCAGCCCUCUACCGCGGAAGGAGGCCUGGCCGGGGCUGGCACCCAGGCUCCAGCAGAGCCCCGGCCUGGUGAGGGGCUGUCCGGCCACCUUCCUCCCCUCCCAGCUCAGGCCCUGUCCUACAGAACCUGGCUCUCGGGGGAGUAAAGUUCCUGCAACAUUUACUGAGUGUGAAUUUUCUCAUGGCAAACACUGUCCUGGGUUAUUUCGUUUGAUCUUCACACCAAUCCGAGGCAGGCAUGUUAUUCCCCUUCUAGAAAGAGGAAGCCGCAGCUCAGGGAAGCUGAUGAACUUCCUGGCAGGUGGCAGGGCCACGACUGAGACUCAAGUCUGUCUGACUCCAAGCCAAGUCGUCUUCACGUUCAGCCACUGCUCCUUUAUACAGCAUCUUGGAAAAUAAAGAAAAAUCUGUUCCUUAUUCUCUGGUCGCCAUCCAGACUGAAGAUGCCGCAUCACCCUCACUGAGUCAUCACCUCUGCUUUCAAAGCCUCGUUCCUUCCUCCUGGCUCUUCCGGGGACUCACACAAACCUUGGGACUGGAAGGGACCUGAGAAGUUUUCUGAGCCCGCCGUGGCUUGGGUCUCCCUGGAUGGCCUACAUUUUUAGGCGAUCUCUGCAUGACCCUCUCUCUCCUUCUGAGAUCAAGAACGAGCUCCCUUCAGUUUCAGAGACUUUAAGGAAAACUAUACAGAAAGGAGCUCUUUUGUAAAGGAUCAGAAGAAGAGAAAACGAUAGGGGUUUGUUUCUUGCUGGCCUGCCCUCUUCCUCACACGUCUCUGUUCCUGCAUGAAGCAGCACUGUGUGGACAAAUGCCAGGGCGGUCAUCCACAGAUCUGGAGUUGGCUGUCCCUCGUGGAUGGGGCCCAGAGGCUCCCACCUGCAGCACUGACGGCCAUUGGGGUCCUUUCCACAGAACCACUGAGGGUCUGUCUCAUCUGUGGGCUCGUAAGGAAGACAUUGGUGAGCCUGAAAUGGGAGUUGGAGAGAAGACAGAUUAUAACAUUAUUUAGCAGCAUGUGGGCCACCAGCACAGCACGACUGCUAAGAGUGGUGUAGGUCGAUGCCUGGGAACUGAAUCCAGGCCACCAAAGCGGAGCACACUGAACUUAACCACUAGGCCCCAUUGCGGCUGGCCCCAAGAUAACUGUUAUUUUUAACUGAAUUUUGUUGCCAAACAAAGAAUGAUGCUUCUUUUCUCUGGGAUGAACAUAAAUCAACAUAAACCAAAAUUGUAUUUUUCUGCAGAGAUUAUGCUAUAAACUGGUAGAAAAGUCAACUGUCAGCUUACACUACUCACCAGGAGGGCAGCAUGAGCCCUGAGAAGGGGUGAAAGCACAGGUCCCUCGUGAACGUCCCCAUCAGGGCACGACAGGUCCUGCAUACCAUGUGCCCACGGGACAGCAUGCAGGCACAACUCCUAAUUAGCAAGGACCCAUUUCCAUGUUAGUUCAAAAAAUUUUGGUGAAGUUGAUAAUUCUAAUGCUUUUAAAAUUCCUUUCAAGAAUGUAUUUUUCUUUGCUGGAAUAACCUAAAUAAAUAUUUUAAUAAAUUAGAUUUAAUGGAAUGAAGAAUUGUGAACAAAACGAAGAUAGAGUUGUCUCUGGGGAACAGAUAACAAUUAGAGAAACUUUUGAAUAAAAUAAAGUGAUAGUUUAAAAUGAGGUGAGGUGAGAAGAGCCUGAACACAUGAAGAAUGACUGAUUUUAAUUGGCUGUAGAGUGCUUUGCCUGGUCUCUUUAAAAAAGAGACAAAAUCUAAGUCUUAAAAUGUUCAAACAAAACAAAAACUCAAAAAUGUAUUUAAAGGCUUGAACCCGGGCCUCUGUAUACGAAAGGGGUGUUUGUAGCAAGCUAGUAAAACCAAGGAAGUUUUGACCUAGAUUAUUCCUUCCCCUCAUCCAUUCACUAAGUCAACAAAUCUUUCUCGAGCACCUGGGCAAGGCCAUCAAACCCUUGGCAACACAGAGCAUAAUCUAUUGGUGCAUGUCCACACAUGCUGAGUUCCUCCCGCGCAGACUUGCCAAGGCCAGUGGUUUCCACUGUGCUCCCUUUGAGGCCCACCCACCUCCUCACUGCGCUCCUGCUGCCUCCUGGUCCCCUCCCUCAUUCACUGAGUACUUUGGCACCUGAUUUAGCUUUCCUCUCCAG